UACGAAGGGGGCUAGCGUUGCUCGGAAUGACUGGGCGUAAAGGGCUCGUAGGCGGUUUGUCACGUCGGGAGUGAAAACUCGGGGCUCAACCCCGAGCCUGCUUCCGAUACGGGCAGACUAGAGGUAUGCAGGGGAGAAUGGAAUUCCUGGUGUAGCAGUGAAAUGCGCAGAUAUCAGGAGGAACACCGGUGGCGAAGGCGGUUCUCAGGGCAUUACCUGACGCUGAGGAGCGAAAGUGUGGGGAGCGAACAGG
Molecule: ribosomal RNA, 253 nt
Filed under: uncultured bacterium
Lineage: Bacteria
Description: partial 16S ribosomal RNA
Rfam family: Bacterial small subunit ribosomal RNA
Source: RNAcentral